This 451-nucleotide ribosomal RNA is filed under the name uncultured bacterium. RNAcentral describes it as "bacterial SSU rRNA". It matches the Rfam family "Bacterial small subunit ribosomal RNA", at positions 8 to 455 of the family's 1533-position model. The record is from RNAcentral.
AGAGUUUGAUCCUGGCUCAGGAUGAACGCUAGCGGCAGGCCUAAUACAUGCAAGACGAACGGUAAGUUGGUUAGCAAUAACCGACCUAGAGUGUCGUAAGGGUGCGUAACACGUAUGCAAUCUGCCCUCAACAGGAGGAUAGCUCGGGGAAACCCGGAUUAACACUGCAUAAAAUGUGGAGGUGGCAUCACUUUCACAUUAAAUCUACGGAGGUUGAGGAUGAGCAUGCGUCUGAUUAGCUAGUUGGUGGGGUAACGGCCCACCAAGGCGAUGAUCAGUAGGGGAACUGAGAGGUUUAUCCCCCACACUGGCACUGAGAUACGGGCCAGACUCCUACGGGAGGCAGCAGUAGGGAAUAUUGGUCAAUGGGUGAGAGCCUGAACCAGCCAUGCCGCGUGCAGGAAGACGGCCUUCUGGGUUGUAAACUGCUUUUGCCAGGGGAUAAAAUUUC